Long non-coding RNA from Ostrinia furnacalis (Asian corn borer), 277 nucleotides. RefSeq lists it as uncharacterized. The transcript has 3 exons. Lineage: Eukaryota; Metazoa; Arthropoda; Insecta; Lepidoptera; Crambidae. The record is from RefSeq and is a predicted model, not a curated record.
CAUAACAUUUAGUAUUAAUAAUUACCUUUGUAAAUUUAUUAUAAUAAACAGAUAAACAAUAUUUUUGUUAUAUUGUUUCAUUGCUUUAUUCUUCUAUCUGAAUAUUCAUGUAUUUUUCUAAUUAAGUAAAUAUUUAUAUCCAUUUUUUGUAACACUUAAGGACCAUAGACAUUCUACUUUUAGCAACGGCCAUUUUGCCAAUAAAAACCUAACCAGUGAAGGUCAAGUUUGUCCCGGGGAAAGUUAAACUACGUUAAACUGUCAUUGGACCCGCAAC